CAAUAGCGUAUAUUAAAGUUGUUGCAGUUAAAAAGCUCGUAGUUGGAUUUCUGGUGGGAGCGAUCGGUCUAGCGCUUAGCGCGAGUACUUGCAUCGUCUCCGGCCAUCCUUGGGGAGAGUCUGUCUGGCAUUAGGUUGUCGGGCAGAGGAUCCUCAUCGUUUACUGUGAAAAAAUUAGAGUGUUCAAAGCAGGCUUAUGCCGUUGAAUAUAUUAGCAUGGAAUAAUAAGAUAGGACUUUGGUACUAUUUUGUUGGUUUGCGCACCAAAGUAAUGAUUAAUAGGGACAGUUGGGGGUAUUCGUAUUCCGUUGUCAGAGGUGAAAUUCUUGGAUUUACGGAAGACGAACUACUGCGAAAGCAUUUACCAAGGAUGUUUUCAUUAA
This 383-nucleotide ribosomal RNA is filed under the name uncultured eukaryote. Its description in RNAcentral is "partial 18S ribosomal RNA". It matches the Rfam family "Eukaryotic small subunit ribosomal RNA", at positions 592 to 976 of the family's 1831-position model. The record is from RNAcentral.